RNAcentral lists this ribosomal RNA (253 nucleotides) under uncultured Gammaproteobacteria bacterium. Its description in RNAcentral is "partial 16S ribosomal RNA". It matches the Rfam family "Bacterial small subunit ribosomal RNA", at positions 524 to 776 of the family's 1533-position model. Lineage: Bacteria; Pseudomonadati; Pseudomonadota; Gammaproteobacteria. The record is from RNAcentral.
UACAGAGAGUGCAAGCGUUAAUCGGAAUCAUUGGGCGUAAAGCGCGCGUAGGUGGAUAUUUAAGUCGGAUGUGAAAGCCCUAGGCUUAACCUGGGAACUGCAUUCGAUACUGGGUAUCUUGAGUCUGGUAGAGGGAAGUGGAAUUUCAGGUGUAGCGGUGAAAUGCGUAGAUAUCUGAAGGAACACCAGUGGCGAAGGCGGCUUCCUGGACCAGUACUGACACUGAGGUGCGAAAGCGUGGGGAUCAAACAGG